RNAcentral lists this ribosomal RNA (268 nucleotides) under uncultured Geobacillus sp. RNAcentral describes it as "partial 16S ribosomal RNA". It matches the Rfam family "Bacterial small subunit ribosomal RNA", at positions 1114 to 1382 of the family's 1533-position model. Lineage: Bacteria; Bacillati; Bacillota; Bacilli; Caryophanales; Anoxybacillaceae. The record is from RNAcentral.
GUUGCCAGCAUUCAGUUGGGCACUCUAAGGUGACUGCCGGCUAAAAGUCGGAGGAAGGUGGGAUGACGUCAAAUCAUCAUGCCCCUUAUGACCUGGGCUACACAACGUGCUACAAUGGGCGGUACAAAGGGUCGCGAACCCGCGAGGGGGAGCCAAUCCCAAAAAAGCCGCUCUCAGUUCGGAUUGCAGGCUGCAACUCGCCUGCAUGAAGCCGGAAUCGCUAGUAAUCGCGGAUCAGCAUGCCGCGGUGAAUACGUUCCCGGGCCUU